This 476-nucleotide long non-coding RNA is filed under the name Oreochromis niloticus (Nile tilapia). RNAcentral's name for it is "lncRNA (ENSONIG00000031564.1)". Lineage: Eukaryota; Metazoa; Chordata; Actinopteri; Cichliformes; Cichlidae. The record is from RNAcentral.
AUGGUCUCCAGCAGACAAGCGCCUGGAAUGAGGCCCAGUGAAAGAUCUGAAGCAGAAAUGGUGUCAUUAGGAGAAGAAGAGAAGAAGAAGUACGGCGAGGAGGCAGCAGCUGUUAAAGAUGAAACACAGCAACUUAGCCCUGAGCUCAGAGAGCUUCACAUGAAAAAGCUCCUCAAGCAGAUCAUGUCAGAGGUUUGUCAUCAACAGGAGGAACUGUUAAUAUCAUAGAAUGAAGGAUGCUUGUCAGUGUCUGGACCCUCCACGCCACACAACCUCACACUUGUCCCCAGGGGCACGGCAAACUUGUAAGCCCUAGUUCAGCUCCCGAAAAAGAUGCUCGAGUUGUUCUUGCGUCAAACAAAAAUGAGUUCUAAUAUGUUUUAUUUUUAAUGUUACUGCGUUGAAGUUAGCACAAUUUAAAAUCAAAAAAUUAUUAGUCUCUUAAAUGAAUGGCAUCUUGUUAGACCGGGGACGGG